UGGAGUAGUGGCUCAGUGGUAAAGCACUUGUCUAGCAUGUAUGAGGCACUAGGUUUGAUUCUUAGCACUGCAA
This 73-nucleotide transfer RNA is filed under the name Marmota monax (woodchuck). RNAcentral describes it as "tRNA.Ala". The record is from RNAcentral. Lineage: Eukaryota; Metazoa; Chordata; Mammalia; Rodentia; Sciuridae.